UGGGGCAGCAUGUCCCGCAGCAAUGCGGGAUGAUGGCGACCGGCAAACGGGUGCGGAACACGUACACAACCUUCCUUUAAGUGGGGGAUAGCCCAGGGAAACUUGGAUUAAUACCCCGUAAUAUAUAGAAGCGGCAUCGCUUUUAUAUUAUAGCAGCAAUGCGCUUGAAGAUGGGUGUGCGGCUGAUUAGAUAGUUGGCGGGGUAACGGCCCACCAAGUCGACGAUCAGUAACUGGUGUGAGAGCACGACCAGUCACACGGGCACUGAGACACGGGCCCGACUCCUACGGGAGGCAGCAGUAAGGAAUAUUGGUCAAUGGACGCAAGUCUGAACCAGCCAUGCCGCGUGGAGGAUGAAGGUCCUCUGGAUUGUAAACUUCUUUUAUCUGGGAAGAAAUCCAUUUUUUCUAAAGUGGUUGACGGUACCAGAUGAAUAAGCACCGGCUAACUCCGUGCCAGCAGCCGCGGUAAUACGGAGGGUGCAAGCGUUAUCCGGAUUCACUGGGUUUAAAGGGUGCGUAGGUGGGUAAGUAAGUCAGUGGUGAAAUCUCCGGGCUUAACCCGGAAACUGCCAUUGAUACUAUUUGUCUUGAAUACUGUGGAGGUCAGCGGAAUAUGUCAUGUAGCGGUGAAAUGCUUAGAUAUGACAUAGAACACCAAUUGCGAAGGCAGCUGGCUACACAAAUAUUGACACUGAGGCACGAAAGCGUGGGGAUCAAACAGGAUUAGAUACCCUGGUAGUCCACGCCCUAAACUAUGGAUACUCGACAUUUGCGAUAAACUGCAAGUGUCUGAGCGAAGCAUUAAGUA
Molecule: ribosomal RNA, 810 nt
Filed under: uncultured Sphingobacteriia bacterium
Lineage: Bacteria; Pseudomonadati; Bacteroidota; Sphingobacteriia
Description: bacterial SSU rRNA
Rfam family: Bacterial small subunit ribosomal RNA
Source: RNAcentral